ACCUUCUCAGGGUCACAACUGGAGAGUUUCCAGUACUCUACCAGUCUCGGCUAUGGGAGGGAGAGUCAAAGAGAAGCCUACCCAUUCCAUUCUUAGCUUGGCCAGUGGCUAGUGAGUGGAAGGCAAUCUGCUACAAGU
Molecule: small nucleolar RNA, 138 nt
Filed under: Ornithorhynchus anatinus (platypus)
Lineage: Eukaryota; Metazoa; Chordata; Mammalia; Monotremata; Ornithorhynchidae
Source: RNAcentral